AAAUGCAACAAAAAUGAAAUUUUUCCUAAAUUUCACUAGAUGCCCCUUUCUCUAUUUUAACUUUUACUUCUUCUUGCACCUUUCUUUCAUUUCUGCUUGUUUUGGUUUUAGGGUUUAGCUUCCAUUUCUGCUCAUUUCUUCUCAAAUUUUCAGUCCAUUUUCGGUCAAGUUUCCUCUCUUUUUCUUCUGUUUCUACAAAGCUUUUUUGUUUUUGCUCAAGCUCAUUUCUUGCGUUUUUUGUCGCCGUUCAAAAACAAUUGCCCACUGCUGGUGAAGCUUUUGAAACUCAAAAUUUCAAGAAGGAAGGCCUUAGUUGAAGCUUCUGCUGGUUUGAAUUUUCUGGUACAGUGAUGCAGGGGCUGACCUAUCAAAUGCUGAUCUUAGAGGUGCUGAUUUUUCUUUGGCAAAUGUAAUAAAGUUAAUCGUUUAUUACAUCUUAGGUGCAUUUCUUUUCUUGAGGAAAACUCUUUUGAGCCAUAUCUGUUACCAAACAGAUAAGUUAUUGUUCUAUCAGAUGAUCUUUUCUUCUGGAUCCCUGCUUCGUUCCUACUGUAGGCAAAUUUAAGCAAUGCUAACUUAGAAGGUGUACUUGCUACAGGGAACACAUCAUUCAAAGGAUCAAAUAUAACAGGUUCUGGUAUGUAAAAGCUCCGGUUUACUCCCAAUUUUAAUCAGCUAUAUGCGUUUGACUUUUGAGGAGUAAUGCGGUGCUUUUAUGCAGCCUACAGUACCUUAAACAUUUAUAUGUUUGUUCAUAGU
This is a long non-coding RNA of Durio zibethinus, 759 nucleotides long. RefSeq lists it as uncharacterized. Lineage: Eukaryota; Viridiplantae; Streptophyta; Magnoliopsida; Malvales; Malvaceae. The record is from RefSeq and is a predicted model, not a curated record.